CGGAGCUUGCUCCACCGGAAAAAGAGGAGUGGCGAACGGGUGAGUAACACGUGGGUAACCUGCCCAUCAGAAGGGGAUAACACUUGGAAACAGGUGCUAAUACCGUAUAACAAUCGAAACCGCAUGGUUUUGAUUUGAAAGGCGCUUUCGGGUGUCGCUGAUGGAUGGACCCGCGGUGCAUUAGCUAGUUGGUGAGGUAACGGCUCACCAAGGCGACGAUGCAUAGCCGACCUGAGAGGGUGAUCGGCCACAUUGGGACUGAGACACGGCCCAAACUCCUACGGGAGGCAGCAGUAGGGAAUCUUCGGCAAUGGACGAAAGUCUGACCGAGCAACGCCGCGUGAGUGAAGAAGGUUUUCGGAUCGUAAAACUCUGUUGUUAGAGAAGAACAAGGAUGAGAGUAACUGUUCAUCCCUUGACGGUAUCUAACCAGAAAGCCACGGCUAACUACGUGCCAGCAGCCGCGGUAAUACGUAGGUGGCAAGCGUUGUCCGGAUUUAUUGGGCGUAAAGCGAGCGCAGGCGGUUUCUUAAGUCUGAUGUGAAAGCCCCCGGCUCAACCGGGGAGGGUCAUUGGAAACUGGGAGACUUGAGUGCAGAAGAGGAGAGUGGAAUUCCAUGUGUAGCGGUGAAAUGCGUAGAUAUAUGGAGGAACACCAGUGGCGAAGGCGGCUCUCUGGUCUGUAACUGACGCUGAGGCUCG
This 702-nucleotide ribosomal RNA is filed under the name Enterococcus hirae. RNAcentral describes it as "bacterial SSU rRNA". It matches the Rfam family "Bacterial small subunit ribosomal RNA", at positions 74 to 755 of the family's 1533-position model. Lineage: Bacteria; Bacillati; Bacillota; Bacilli; Lactobacillales; Enterococcaceae. The record is from RNAcentral.